GCCUGGGAAACUGGGUCUAAUACCGGAUAGGACCACGGGAUUCAUGUCCUGUGGUGGAAAGCUUUUGCGGUGUGGGAUGGGCCCGCGGCCUAUCAGCUUGUUGGUGGGGUAACGGCCUACCAAGGCGACGACGGGUAGCCGGCCUGAGAGGGUGUCCGGCCACACUGGGACUGAGAUACGGCCCAGACUCCUACGGGAGGCAGCAGUGGGGAAUAUUGCACAAUGGGCGCAAGCCUGAUGCAGCGACGCCGCGUGGGGGAUGACGGCCUUCGGGUUGUAAACCUCUUUCACUAUCGACGAAGGUUCGGGUUUUCUCGGAUUGACGGUAGAUGGAGAAGAAGCACCGGCCAACUACGUGCCAGCAGCCGCGGUAAUACGUAGGGUGCGAGCGUUGUCCGGAAUUACUGGGCGUAAAGAGCUCGUAGGUGGUUUGUCGCGUUGUUCGUGAAAUCUCACGGCUUAACUGUGAGCGUGCGGGCGAUACGGGCAGACUAGAGUACUGCAGGGGAGAUUGGAAUUCCUGGUGUAGCGGUGGAAUGCGCAGAUAUCAGGAGGAACACCGGUGGCGAAGGCGGGUCUCUGGGCAGUAACUGACGCUGAGGAGCGAAAGCGUGGGGAGCGAACAGGAUUAGAUACCCUGGUAGUCCACGCCGUAAACGGUGGGUACUAGGUGUGGGUUUCCUUCCUUGGGAUCCGUGCCGUAGCUAACGCAUUAAGUACCCCGCCUGGGGAGUACGGCCGCAAGGCUAAAACUCAAAGGAAUUGACGGGGGCCCGCACAAGCGGCGGAGCAUGUGGAUUAAUUUCGAUGCAACGCGAAGAACCUUACCUGGGUUUGA
This 838-nucleotide ribosomal RNA is filed under the name Mycobacterium marinum. RNAcentral's name for it is "bacterial SSU rRNA". It matches the Rfam family "Bacterial small subunit ribosomal RNA", at positions 147 to 984 of the family's 1533-position model. The record is from RNAcentral. Lineage: Bacteria; Bacillati; Actinomycetota; Actinomycetes; Mycobacteriales; Mycobacteriaceae.